UUGGAAAAUUUGCCAAAUCAGGGAAGCGAAAGGUGUUUGCAGGCAGCAGAGUUUUGAGGGUAGUUUUCAUCAUCUCAUCACUCUACUCCCAGAUUAUUCGCUUCCCUAAUUUGGACGAUUUUACUUGCGUUCCUU
This 135-nucleotide microRNA precursor is filed under the name Gossypium raimondii (Peruvian cotton). RNAcentral describes it as "miR8753 stem-loop (gra-MIR8753)". Lineage: Eukaryota; Viridiplantae; Streptophyta; Magnoliopsida; Malvales; Malvaceae. The record is from miRBase by way of RNAcentral.